GUUAUAAGCUUCAGCGAAUUAUAAGGGAAUAUGUUUUUAUACAAAGGAAUAAUUUUUAUAAAACAGUUACGCAAUUAAGCGAACGACAAGAAAAUAUAACGUAACAUUGUAAUUUGCACGUAGAUUUAAUUCAUUUGCGAAUACCUUUAUGAUUUGCUAUGGUUGCUAUAUUUAAAUAUUACGUAGAGUGAAUUCUUUGAUGCGUGUGUAUUGAUUACAUAUUGCGAUUUUAAUUACCGCAAUUGUAAAAUUAUAACAAUCGUAGUAGAAUGUUUUUAUUGGCAUUAAUUUAGUCAUUUAAAUUAGCGGAAAUCUUGCAAAGUAUCUGCUAUAAAUUUUAUUGAUAAAGUGUCAGGAAAAUUGUAACAGUAUCUGAUAACAGAGUAAGACGAUAAAUUGGCGGCAGAAACGAAAUAAAAUGUGCUGUGCAAAUGAAAUACACAGCAAAUUUUGCCUCGAUCUUUGCCAAUUUCUCAUUAAAUUAUGUCAACAGACGUAAUUAAUCUCUGCUAACAUAACAAGAUUUUAAUUUGAACAGAUACCAUAUUUGCCGCAAUAUUCUAAAAUUGCGCGCGCGCCCAUAUCUGAUAGUAAGAUCAUAUCAUGAAAGAUUGUACAGAUUUGUCAUCAGUGAUAGAUACCACAUUUUGCUGAGAACACGCGUGUGUCAGACGAAACAGCAUUUAUUGAAUAAGAGACCGUGAAGUGAUUCAAUAUGUGAAUAGUUCAAAUGUGUUUUUAAUUCAAAUAAAAAUUACACAACGGUAUUAAAACUAGAACAAAAUAAUGUACGAAAGUUUCAAGUUAUAUUUCAAGAACAUAAUAAAAGAUGAAUGAUAUAGCACGAAAAAUAACUGACAUAAAAGAAGCAUUAUAUGCUGUAAAUAAUAAUAUCAAGUUUUGCUAACAAUAAUAUGAAAAUAGAUUUCUAGCAAUAUGGCUACAUUAUCUGUAGUAGACUAUAUUGUGAUUUGUGUAUUAAUGGUGAUCAGUUCCGGAAUCGGAAUAUACUACUGGCUCACCGGAAAUCGGCAAAAAUCUACAGAGGAAUAUUUCGUGGCGAACAAAUCAAUGCGAGUAGUACCGGUGGCGAUAGGUUUGAUGGUUUCAUAUCUGUCAGCAGUAAGUUUACUUGGUGUGAGUUCCGAAAACUAUAUUCACGGUACACAAUAUGCUGUAAUUAUUUUUUCUUACGGCAUCGCCACGCCAUUCGUAGCCUAUUUCUAUUUACCAGUAUUUUUCAAACUCAACGCCACAAGUGUUUUUGAGUAUCUGCAAAAACGUUUUGGCACAACCACCAGAGUAAUAGCCAGCUUUGCCUUUCUACUCCAAUUAUUGCUCUACACUGGUGUCGUAUUGUAUGCACCCGCACUGGCUCUAGAAGCUACCACGGGUAUUUCAAUGAGUGUGAGCGUAAUCAGUCUGGGCCUGGUCUGCACAUUUUACUCGACUAUCGGUGGUAUCAAGGCAGUCCUCAUCACCGAUGUGUUUCAGAGCCUAUUAAUGCUGAUCGCUGUUAUCAUGGUUAUUGCCACUGCGGCUGUUGAUACCGGCAGUCUCGCUCGGAUCUGGCAAAUUGCGCGUGAAGGAUCGCGAUUGGAAUUUAACAACAUUUCUCUAGAUCCAACUGUACGACAUACUUGGUGGAGUCUAACAAUCGGUGGAUUCUUCACUUAUCUCUCUUUAUACAGUGUUAAUCAAGUUCAGGUCCAGAGAAUGUUGACUCUCAGAAAUGUAAAAGCCGCCCAACAUGCAUUAUGGUGGAGCUGGCCAAUGGCGUCGAUCAUGUCGCUCACUCUAAGUUUCACUGGAUUGGCGAUAUACGCAAAAUAUCAUAACUGUGAUCCCCUCAAGGAGGGUAAAAUAAGUUCGUACGAUCAAUUGAUGCCGCUGUACGUGAUGGAUAUGCUGUCGAACUAUCCCGGUGUACCUGGGCUCUUUAUAGCAGGGAUUUUCAGCGCUGGGCUCAGCACCAUCUCAGCCACGGUUAAUUCUCUCGCCGCUGUUAUCCUCGAAGAUUAUAUCAAGCCUCUCUGGCGUAUAAGAAAGAAGGAGUUAUCUGCGACAACAUCAAUAAUUAUUAGUAAACUACUAGCUGUUGCGGUCGGAGGAGCUUGUCUAGCCGUUGCUUUUCUGGCACAAUAUCUUGGCGGAUUAUUGCAGUUGAUUCGUCAAUAUUGAAUUUCUCUGCAAUCUCUCAAGUGAUGAUUUGCCGGCUCGCAUCAAUUAAAAUCAUGAUUUGAUCGACAUCCGUAAUGACUGGCCGACUGGAAUGAGGAACCUCUUUAAGAUCCGCUUCUUCUGCACGAAACUUCGCAAACCAUUUCUGGCACAUUUAUUCGCUAACAGCAUCUCUCCUCUCCGUAGAGACGGCGCAUUUUUUAUGUAGUGUAUCCCGUAUUUUUAGUUUUACGCAGCUUUAACGAUUUUCGGUGUAAUCGGUGGACCUAUGUUAGGUUUAUAUACACUCGGCAUGUUCCUUCCAUCGUGCAAUCAGAGAGGC
Molecule: unclassified non-coding RNA, 2503 nt
Filed under: Ooceraea biroi (clonal raider ant)
Lineage: Eukaryota; Metazoa; Arthropoda; Insecta; Hymenoptera; Formicidae
Description: putative sodium-dependent multivitamin transporter, transcript variant X1
Source: RNAcentral